GUGCCAGCCGCCGCGGUAAUACCGGCAGCCCGAGUGAUGGCCGAUCUUAUUGGGCCUAAAGCGUCCGUAGCUGGCCAUGCAAGUCCAUCGGGAAAUCCACCCGCUUAACGGGUGGGCGUCCGGUGGAAACUGCAUGGCUUGGGACAGGAAGGCUCGAGGGGUACGUUCGGGGUAGGAGUGAAAUCCCGUAAUCCUGAACGGACCGCCGAUGGCGAAAGCACCUCGAGAGGACUGAUCCGACAGUGAGGGACGAAAGCUAGGGUCUCGAACCGGAUUAGAAACCCGGGUAGUCC
This 293-nucleotide ribosomal RNA is filed under the name uncultured bacterium. Its description in RNAcentral is "partial 16S ribosomal RNA". It matches the Rfam family "Archaeal small subunit ribosomal RNA", at positions 455 to 747 of the family's 1478-position model. The record is from RNAcentral.